UGGGAGUAGCUCUGCAGGUCGUACCCGAACGACCUCACCGCGGCCCGACGCCUCGGCCGCGCCGCUCCUCUCCUCCAUGUGGACCUCAUCAGUCUCGACAGCAGCUGCUUCACUGCCGCCGUCGACCACCUUCCGGCUGCUGGCGGCCGGCCGGUGUGCAGGCCCAGCAGAGACGCCAUGACCCUACGACGAACUUUUCAUGAUUUCAUCUACCCCUACGACGAAUUUCUACGUCCUGCAAAGCGCCGUCAGCAAAGAAAAAGGAUUUACUUCAAAAAAGAAAAAGAAAAAGGAAAAAGGAAGCGCACUAACGUCAAAGCAAAAUCUCUAGAUGAGAGCAAGCAAGCUGCUAUUUGCAUGCAUGUGACGGUGGAGUCAUCACCUGAUCGGAUGAUCGACAGAUCACACGAAAAGGACGGCCGUUGGUGAUGGCGGUAUGGGGAAUUGGGGAUAAUCAUCCGAGUCAAUCAUCCGAGUCAUCGUGGUCCAUCUAUGAGUUGGCCGUUUGGGCUUUUGAGCUUUUGCCUUCCCGCAUACGUGAGAUUUUGCUGAUGGCGCUACCUUUUUGCUUGAGUUGAAAUCUAGCUUUAACUUCGCCACAAAGAAAAAUUAUUCUGAGUGAUUUGAUACAAACUAUAUAUAUUUUUUUGGAAUCAUCAGAUUCAAAAUUAAAGUUCCCAUAGGAUUCCUUCUCCACUUUUGUUUAUAAAGACAGCCUUACAAUGCAUGAAACAUGAGAAAAAUACAAGUGAAGAUUCUUUCAGUCAAAUAAAUCGACAAAAAAGCGAAUACCUGUCAGGCUAACCGUACUCGUACGCGAACAUGCAUGUCACGCCAGCUAAAAAGAAUCACAACUUGGUGUUUCUACACUAGCGCUGAGAGGUUGCAAACACUCACAGAUCGAUCACGUGAAACACAUUUGGUUAAUUCGGUUGAUGACAUUCACGUUUAGUUUCUUGUGACUUGUGAGCUGAAGAACAUGUGCCUGGCCUCCCGGCCAUCUAGUUUCAGCGACUUUCACCUAUCUCCCAAAAACCUAAAAGCAGCCACAGAUAGUUUGGCGGGUAGGUGAACAAUUUGCCUACAGGUUUGGCACAUUCUUAAGCCAGGAAUCAGUUUCCAACAGCUGACAAAGAAGCUCAUUCUGCGUGCUGACUGAUGGCAGCAAAUUUACAGUAGCCAGCUACAAAGAAGAAAAGCGAGUAGUCAUUUACAGUAACUGGACGAGCCAGCUAUCUAGCUAUCUAGCUUAGCUAAUGACCGAGAAGCACUGAGCUAGCUACACACGGCGGAAUCACUGAAAGCGGUGCAGUGGCCGGAGGAGGCGAGGCCGUCGUCGAAGUUCUGGGAGUAGCUCUGCAGGUCGUACCCGAACUUCACUGCAGGCCGCCUCGGCCGCCCCGCGCUUCUCCUCCAUGUGGACCUCAGCCUCGACAGCAGCUGCUUCGCCGCCGCCGAGGCCACCGACGACCGCCCGCCGCUCCUGCCGUCGACCCUUCUCCGGCUGCCGCCGGUGUACAGGCCCAGCCGAGACGCCAUGAUCCUCUCUCGAUCGCUCGUAGUAGCGCUGUCACGACUGAAAUCUCACAGCUGAGCUAAUAAUAAUUAGGCACCAGGACGCUCUUGACUCCUGUCUCACAGGCGCGUGCAGCUUCUCAGAGACCUUUGCCUGGAUGAUCGAUGCCUGCCGUGCCGCUGCUUUUAUAGGCUGCGACCGGAUCGGAAUGAAUCGGAUAGGGUUCCUGCUGUCGAGGUCCCCGGCCGGGCCCACCGGCACGCACGCACUGAGUCACUAACGCACAGGGCCACGACGGCAUCCACCAGGAUGGAUUCUCGAUCGGCUGGGCAAAAGCCGAUUUCAGGCAUCUUUUACGGCGUCGCCUUCGGUCAGAAAAGAAAAGAAAGGUGACCACCAACAACCAACCUAUCGAGCUGAAUUCGGAUAUGCUGCCCAGCCCAGCCCAGUCAUCAACUCAUCAUGCGUAGGAUCGAUGAACAUGGGAGCAGAGAAGGUUCAGAGGUUCAUGAUUUCAUCUACCCCUACAAGGCUAAAACGAAUUUUGCAAAGCGCCGUCGUCAGAAAAGAGAAAGCAAGCGCACUAACGUCAAAGCAAAAAUCUCUAGCUGAGAGAGGAAGCUGCUAUUUGCGUGCAUGUGAUGGUGUAGUCAUCGCCUGAUCGGAUGAUGGGCAGAUCACGCGAAAAGGACGGUCGUUGGUGGUGGCGAUAUGGGGAUCGGGGUCCUACAAAUCAUCCGAUCCGAGUCAUCGUGGUCCAAGUAUGACUUGGCCGUUUUGGCUUUUGCCCCCAUCCGAUCUCGAGAUUUUGCUGAUGGCGCUCCCUUUUGCUUGUGUUUAGAUCGAUCAGUAGCUUUAACUUCGCUACUAAGAAAAAUUUGGAGUGAUUUGAUACAAACUAUUCCUUCUUCUUCUUUGGAAUCAGAAUCAAAAGUUCUCAUAGCAGGAUGCAGGAAUGUAAAAACGUUGAGAGAAUCUAGUAGCAAAAACACAAGUUACGGUACUGAGAAACAUGAGAAGAAUUGAAGUUUCUACACUUGCUGAUGCAAACGUACACUCACAGCUCGACGGUUGCACCGGGACCUAGGAUCGAUCACGUGAAAAACAUUCGGUUCGGUUCACGUACGUUUACCUCCCAAGAAAUCCACAAGCAGACGCAGAUACUUUGGCCGGCGGGGAAGAUGAACAACUUGCAUUGGCUGCAGGUGCGGCACAUGCGUAGUAACUAGUAGUAAGCCAGAAAUCAUAACAAAACCACAUGCAGACAGAAGCGACCAUUCCUUUCCAAGUUUGCAAACCCAGAAGCUGAACAACAAACAAAGCACCAACACAAUCACUUUGUGUUUUGCACACAUAAUUACAAAACCAUUCUGCGUGUUGACUGAUGGUGGAUUUACAUUAUCUAACUACUCCGUACAAAGAAGAGAAGCGAGUCAAUUACAGGAACUGCAUGCCGAACUGGAUGUGGCCGCUAUCUAAUCACCGGCCGGGAAUACAAUCACUGAGCGAGCUAGUUACACGGGAUCACUGAAAGCAUGUGGCAGGAGGAGCCGAGGCCAUCGUCGAAGUUUUGGGAGUAGCUGUGCAGGUCGUACCCGAACGACCUCACCGCGGCCCGCCUCGGCCGUGCCGUGCUUCUCUGCCUCCACGUGGACCGCAGCCUCGACAACAGCUGCUUCGCCGCCGCCGCCGCCGCCGACCGCCGGCAGUGGCCCCUCCUCCGGUUGCCGCCGGUGUACGCGCCCAGCUGAGACGCCAUCCUGUCCCGAUCGCUCACAGCUUAGAUGAGCCGCAGUAGCACGCUUGUGUGCCUCGUGUCUGAACUCUAUGCCUCUCUGACCCUGCAGCUGCGAACUUCUGAAUCACACCUUUGUCUCCGCUGGACGACGGCUGCCGUGCUGCGUAUUUUAUAAGCUCGAGUGCUCGACGGACCGAUUGGAUGGGAAUCCGAUGCAUUGGGCCGGUUCCUUCGUUACCAGAGAGCCGACGACGAGCCAACGUCGCCGGCCGGGCCCACUGACGCUCACGCACCGAGUCACUCACGUACGGGUACAGCCAGGGCGCCGGUGGCAUCCACUACGCGAGUCGGAUUCCCGAUCCGAAUGGUUUUCCAGGCAAAAAAAGCCGAUUCCGGGGGGCAUCUUUUUUGGGCGUCGCCCGCCAUCAGCCAGAAAAGAGGCUUGCUUGGCGACAGCCGGCAAAUGGCGACGGGGUGUGGGCGUGUGGCGUAACGGGAGGUCGGCUCCUCCGUGUCCUGCCCGAGGGAUCAUGUCCGAAACGAAAACCGACCGGCAGUUGGGCACGGCCUGUUCCAUCCAUGUGUGGAGCUGUAGGCAGGCCAACGAGGCCAUGCGCACGCAAGUAGCGUGCGCGAACGUGUGGAAUGUCACACAUGCACAAUGCGUUCGCCCGCAUGCAUAAAUAGCGCCGAUCGAUCAUGGCAUCUCAGGGUCCUCGUGAUCUGAUUUUUCCUUAAAAUUUGCUAGACUAAAUUAGAAUGCCCUUUACCACCCUAGGAAUGCGAUGCCACUGCUGCAGAUCGGCUGCACAAUUUGUUUUCCUUAAGUCAGCUGAUAGCUGAAAGCUUUAUAAUAAGAGAAUAGCUGCGUGCAUUUUUGCAGAGGCUGGAGAUACAUCUCUAUUUUCUAAAAGAAAAUCUAUGUUGUGCAUAAUACUUAUAUGUGCUUAGGAGGUGAAAACAUGGUCUUGUCCAGUCAUCAUUCGUUGAAUCGAGAUGGGAACAGACAACGUGUCAUCUACCGAAUACAACGGAUUUCUUCACCCCGCAAAUUAAAGUGUCACCAGUCUGAUCAAAUGAUUGAUAGCUGGGAGCGAGCCAGGAAGCUUCGAGUCAUCCGUUUGAUGCGACAUUUAUAUUGAAACCACAACAGUAGUAUCACAAACGGCACGUAUAUAAAGUUUUAAGAUGUCAUAACAUAAUCUUCAACACAUAUUCUACUAAAACAAGAACUAAUCAUGUCUAGGCUUUCUAGGUGGCCUAGGCAAGUAUGUAGCCCGAUUCUUGCUAGCUUGAAAUGUCUUCCUGAUUUCAUCUCCAUCAAUGCCUCUAAAAAUUUCCUUCUCAAUGUAGCACAAUAUCAAGCUACUAAGCCACUCAUCGUUCAUUCUAUUCCGUAGAUCUGUCUUGAUUAUAUUCAUAGCCGAAAAAGCUCUUUCAACAGAUGCUGUUGCUACUGGUAGAAGCAAUGCUAACUUAAUGUGCCGAAAGACCAAUGGAAAAGCAAUAUCUCUUUCAUGUUUAACCAUUUUUAUAGCCAAACUUCCAAAAUCAGGACAAUCUUUGAAUAAAUACUCUUUGCAUAUGUAUGACAAAGGUCUCAAGUUGAUCUCUUAUAUUAGAACGCUCAAUGUCAGUGAAAUCUUGAUCAUAUAUUUCAGUCAAUCGAGCAAUCUUUUCUAUAUCAAACUUAGCAAAAGAAUUUCUUGGAUCAAGACAAGCGAAGGAAACAAGCAACUCUGAUGAUACCUCAUUGAAGCGAUGGUCCAUCUCUGUCAUAAUAGCAUCAAGAGCAGCCAGGAAAGUAUCAACACAAUAAUGAUGUUCUUGAGUGAUUAAGUUACCAUCUAGCCUUGACCGACCCCAUCUAGGUAUUGUCUCAUCCAUGUUUGGCACUGGAAUCAUCUUAUCAUUGCAAAAUGAUAUGACUUCAUCAAGUAAUGGCUGCCAGCCUUCAUUUCUCAAAGUGACCAGCCGUGUUUCACAUCAAUAAGCAAUGACAAGGCCUGAACAAUAUUUUGAUCCUUCCGUUGCAGCAAGAGAGACAACUCAUUAGUAAUGCGAAGCACUUUCAACAUGAACUUCAUAUUCAAAACAAAAGAGAAGCUCUCCAUUUUGCGCACCAAACCACCUGCUCGACUAGUAUUACGCUCAUCCUCAUGAACCAUUGACAGCACCUUGACAACAGAAUUCCACAUUGACUCAAUACGAGCUAAUGUUGUUAAAUGAGAACCUCAUCUUGUACUUUGAUGCUUCCCCUUUCCUGAAAAGAUUUCACCACUUUCCAAUCUUUCCAAAAUUUCUUCUCGAUGCUUUGCGAUUAGCUUAUCUUUUCUUUUACAUGAUGAACUUGCACUAGUCACAAUUAAGCUCACAUAGUUGAAGAAAUCAUCAAAGGAUGAACAACUAGAUGUAACAGAAACAAUGACUAGUUGCAAUUGGUGGGCAAAGCAGUGAACAUAAAAAGCAUAUGGGUUCUCAUCACGAAUUAGUUUUUGCAAACCAUUGAAUUCACCUCUCGUAUUUGAUGCUCCAUCGUAUCCUUGUCCCCGUAGUCUACCAAUAGAUAAUCCAUAAUUGGCAAGCAUUUGAAGCAAAGACUUCUUUAGUGAUUUUGAUGUUGUGUCCUCAACAUGCUUCGGACCCAAAAACCUUUCCACAACCAUUCCUUAAUUGUUCACAAAUCUGCAAAAAAAAUGAUAAUACUAGUAUUAAUAAACAAGUAUAGCACAGAUGAAUAAUGAAUCUUUCUGAUUUACUCAUGUAACAAACUAACCUUACAAUAACAGCCAUUUGCUCUGCUAUUGAGACAUCACGAGAUUCAUCAAUGAGAACGGAAAAAAGAACGGUAAUGCUUCUUCUGCAUCAGCAACCACAGAUUGAACCUGCUCUUGAUCUUGAACCACACGGUCAACACCUUCAGAUUCCAAAGCAGCCACAUUUUGACUUUCCCUAGUACUUGGGCGGAGGAACCAGAACCAGAGCCAACACUCAAAUUCGAAAAGAAGCUCUUCAAAUCUACAGAAAUCACAUUGAGCACAUGAAUAAAUGCUAAGAGUUCCAAUUCAAUUGAGAGCAGAGGAUACUUGAUUUUACCCCUUGUUACCAUUUUCUUCUUGCCAAUUGGAAGACAGGGGCGAUUUGGGGCGCCUCGCCCUCGCCCAACGCCGACGCCGACCGGGACCAUGCUCUGCUGCUCAUCAUCAGGAGCUUCCGGUGCCGCCCCUCUUCCACGGCCGCGCAUUUUCCAUCUCCAUUUCUUUUGAGAAUCUAGCUAGUAUACGUCAUCUGUGCAUCCUCUGUUGAUAUAACGGCUAGAACCAUUUUCGCCUAUUAUAAUCGUAAGAGAAAAGUGAAUGCCUUACCGGUCUGUUAUUCAACAAUUCUUCUGAGCACGUCACGUCAGAUAAAAAGAAACGGAAACUAGAGUGUCCGAUGCUGUGUUGAAUGUUUGUACGAUCGAUAACGUAAAACACAUGCACAUCGGCCGUACUUUUCCUCUGUGCUGAAGAACCAGAGCACGGCCAGUACUGUGCGGCCAUCUUCUAAUUUCAGUGUUUAAUCUAGUGGCUUUGACAGCUUAUUAUUAACUGAUCUCCCAAAAAAAUCUACAAGAGGCGCAGAUAGUUUGGGAGAUGAGCAAACCACAAAUCAGAACAGAGAACAGAAGAUUUCAGGAUGAGAGGUUAGACAUAAUCUAUUCCAUUCCAAAGCUUUCAACAGCCGAACAAAGCAUAAUUUCUGCUGAUGGAUGGCAGGUAGGUUUAGUCUUGCACACACAUGCAGUAUAUACACAGAAGAAGCGAGUAGUGAUCCUGUACAAAGGCUGGACGAGCUAGCUUCCUAAUCGCCAUUGGAGAUCAGCUAAUAUUCUCCAGGUGAGUACUAGGCACAAUCAUUUACACACAUAACUAGAGAAGAAAGUGAAGGGAUAAUAGCAGCUCUAGCUACAACCGGCGGCGGUCGGAGGAGGCGAGGCCGUCGUCGAAGUUCUGAGAGUAGCUCUGCAGGUCGUACCCGAAGCUCACCGCGGCCCGACGCCUCGGCCGCGCGGCGCGUCUCCUCCUCCACGUGGACCUCAGCCUCGACAGCAGCUGCUUCACCGCCGCCGCCGACCGGCCGCCGCUCCUCCUCCGGCUGUUGCUGCCGCCGGUGUACAGGCCCAGCUGCAGAGACGCCAUCCUCUCCUAGCUCUCUCGAUCAGUCGAUCGCUAACACGAUCACAGUCGGAGCGUUAUGUUAUGAUCAGAACGCAGACUUGUCGCGCUCGCAAGUCGCAACUAGCUGCCCGCGGCCUCUCUGCUCGUAGCUACCUCUGCAAUGAAGCUUCUCAAGACCUUGUGCCAGAGAACGCACCCCAUGGUGCUGCUUUUAUAAGCUGGGGCAGGUGAUGUGUUCCGACACGCGUCGUCGCGGCGAGACCCGCCAGCAGCAUGGUGACGAGACAUCCACUACGGCGAUCGCCGUGUGGACGACGGUCCGGGCAAAAGCCGAUUCCAGGCAUCUUUUUCGUGCGGUCGAAAAGAAAAGGUAACCGUCGUCUAGCACGCACCAACCGCAGCACAGCAGCAUGCGUGUUUUUGUUGGUUUGGUGGUAGGCUUUCCUUACUCGGUUACUCCUUAGUGACCUGUCGAGCUAGCUAGGACGCAUCAUGCAUGAGAGAGAGGUGGCCACGGCCGUCGCCGGCCUGAACCGCUGCUAGUGAAGCGGAGGUGCGUUAUGGUCGGCGCCCUCGUGUCGUGAUGCCGAGCUAGUCUACCGUGCACGCGCGCGGGGGGCGCCGGUCGACUGGAAUGUCACCUGCAGAAUGCGUUUCCGCUGCCUGUCGCCUGCCGAUUGCCGAAUAAUCCCUGGGUGAGUUGGGCGAGGUGUUUUAUUUCAAAAAGGAAAAGUUGGCCGAGAUGUGAUGCGGCUCCAUUGUAUUGCUACUCGAGGCUACGAUUUGCCCGCGUGCACAGCAGUGCUCAACAUGACAUGUCAUCACAGCAGGCUGGGAUCUUAUCCUUGUAGAUGAAAGGCAAAUUGAAUCCAAAAGUAUAUACUCCACAACGUACACGUGUCUUAAAGCUUGGAACAUGGACACAUGGUCGUCUUUGGAUAAUCCUAAAAGAAGAUGACAUCGAGUCAUAAUCAUGCGUAGGAUUGAGGUGGGAGCGUAUUAGAAAGUGGUCUACUGACUACAACGAACUAGUGCAUCGUAAAGAAAGAGAAAGGGAACGCACUAGUGUUAAAGCAAAAAAAAAAACAUCGAGAUCAUUCGUUGAAUGGAUAUCGGGAACACAGAAAUUGUCAUGUUCCGAUGACAACGAAUUUUUACAUCCUGCAAAAGUGUAGUCGGAAAGAAAUUAAUUAAGGGGUGUUUGGCCCCUGUCACAUCAGAUGUUUGAUACUAAUUAGGAGUAUUAAACAUAGGCUAAUUACAAAACUAAUUGUACAACUCCUAGGCUAAAUCGCGAGACGAAUCUAUUAAGCCUAAUUAGUCCAUGAUUUGGCAAUGUGGCGCUACAGUAACUAUUCGCUAAUGAUGGAUUAAUUAGGCUUAAUAGAUUCGUCUCGUGAUUUAGCCUAAAGGUUCUGCUAUUAGUUUUAUAAUUAGCUCAUAUUUAGUCCUCCUAAUUAGUAUCCAAACAUCCGAUAGGUUAAAGUUUAGCCCCUACCUUCCAAACAUCCCAGCUAAAUGCACACUGAUGUCAAAGCAAUUUCGUCCUCUAGAAGGGGAGCGAGGAAGCUUCGAGUCAUCAGUCUGAUCGACGUAUUACACAAAAAGGAUCCAAGAAUUGGUGGUGGCAGCAUGGGGAUCGGUGUCGUACAGAUGAUCCGAGUCAUCGUGGUCCAAGGAUGACUGGCCAUAUUUUCGCUUUUAAACUUUUGCCAUGAUGUUAGAUUUUUGCUUGCGUGAUGCGCUCCCUUUUACACGGCUACUUCUCAGUACCUUUAACUUGGCUACAGAAAUUAAGAACAAAAUGAUUUUUCGUUUGGAAUCAGCUACAAAAGUUCCCACAGAAUUUGUCUAUUUAAGUAUUUUUCAACUCCACUUUUGAUUAGGAUUGUAAAUUUCGCCUUAUAAUGCAGCAAAAUAGUUAAAACAUGAGAAUCUAAGUAUAAAUAUUAGUCACGGUACUGCAAAACAUGAGAAAAAGGUGCAUGAUUUACUCUUUUGGUCACUUAUCGAAUACCUAUAUGUCUUGGUUUUUACAAAAUGGAACUUGUCAUGCUUCUGCAUUCUCGAUUAAUGCAGCGGCUAAGGUAAUUUUAUUUAAAUCCACUAUAUAUCCCAAAAGAAAAGCGAAUACCUGUCGGAUCAACAAAUUUUGCACGAGAACAUAUCACAUCAUCAGCUAAAAAGAAACCAAAACUAGAGUUUUAAAAUUUUGUGGCAUUCAUAAUUUCAGCGAUCUCACUGGCCACCGAAAAAUCCGCUAGAAAGCCGCAGACAGUUUGGGCCGAUGAACAACAACAAUCGGUUACAGGUUUGUGGCACAUAUCAGAACAGAGAAAGAUCUCAGAAUCAGGUUAGAAGCCAUUCCAUUCCAAGCUUCCCACAGCUGAACAAAGCAUAAUUUUGCUGAUGGAUGGCAGGUUUAGUUUAGUCUUGCAUACACAGCUGACUACACAGAAUUACAAGAAGCGAGGUGAUCCUGUACAAAUUAAAGACUGCACGAGCUAGCUAGCUAAUCAUCACUGGAAAUCGGCUAGUACUCUCCCGGUGACGAGGCACAAUCAUUUACACACAGAACUGGAGAAGAAACUGAAGGAAUAAUAGUACUGGCUCAUAGCUCUAGGUUCUAGCUACAACCGGCGGUGGUCGGAGGAGGCGAGGCCGUCGUCGAAGUUGUGGCAGUAGCUCUGCAGGUCGUACCCGAACCUCACCGCGGCCCUCCUCGGCCGCACCACGCGUCUCCUCCACGUGGACCUCAGCCUCGACAGCAGCUGCUUCGCCGCCGCCGCCGCCGACAGGCCGCCGCUCCUGGCAUGGAACCUCCUCCGGCUGCCGCCGGUGUACAGGCCCAGCUGCAGAGAUGGCAUCCUCUCUCUCGAUCGCUCACAAGUCACAAGCUAGGCACAAACUCUCUCGCAACUAGCUUCCCGGCCUCUCUGCUCGUAGCUACCUCUGCGACUGAAGCUUCUGAAGACCUUGAGCCAAAGAACGCACCCCAUGACCCCAUAUAUGGUGCUGCUUUGUAAGCUGGGGGCAGGGGAUGUGUUCCGACACGCGUCGACGUCGCGGCAAGACCCGCCAGCAGCGCGGUGACGAGGCUUCCACUACGGCGAUCGCCGGAAUGGUCUGGGCAAAAUCCGAUCUGAGGCAUCUUUUCCAGCACUGCUGUGGAAUGCCUUCGGUACCGGUCCUAAAGCCCGUUUGUACUGGUCGUG
RNAcentral lists this long non-coding RNA (10629 nucleotides) under Setaria italica (foxtail millet). Its description in RNAcentral is "long non-coding RNA (SITA_LNC006687)". The record is from RNAcentral. Lineage: Eukaryota; Viridiplantae; Streptophyta; Magnoliopsida; Poales; Poaceae.